CGUUGUUCGGAAUUACUGGGCUUAAAGGGUGCGUAGGCUGCGCGGAAAGUUGGGUGUGAAAUCCCUCGGCUCAACCGAGGAACUGCGCUCAAAACUACCGUGCUCGAGGGAGACAGAGGUGAGCGGAACUUAGGGUGGAGCGGUGAAAUGCGUUGAUAUCCUAAGGAACACCCGUGGCGAAAGCGGCUCACUGGGUCGCUUCUGACGCUGAGGCACGAAAGCUAGGGUAGCGAACGGG
This 238-nucleotide ribosomal RNA is filed under the name uncultured bacterium. RNAcentral's name for it is "partial 16S ribosomal RNA". It matches the Rfam family "Bacterial small subunit ribosomal RNA", at positions 539 to 776 of the family's 1533-position model. The record is from RNAcentral.